CCAAAGGAAUUAUUAAAUUCCACCAACAUAGCAAAACACACUUUU
Felis catus (domestic cat) is the source of this 45-nucleotide non-coding RNA. The record is from Rfam. Lineage: Eukaryota; Metazoa; Chordata; Mammalia; Carnivora; Felidae.